CAGCCGCCGCGGUAAUACGUAAGCGGCAAGCGUUGUCCGGAAUUAUUGGGCGUAAAGGGCUCGCAGGCGGUUUCUUAAGUCUGAUGUGAAAGCCCCCGGCUCAACCGGGGAGGGUCAUUGGAAACUGGGAAACUUGAGUGCAGAAGAGGAGAGUGGAAUUCCACGUGUAGCGGUGAAAUGCGUAGAGAUGUGGAGGAACACCAGUGGCGAAGGCGACUCUCUGGUCUGUAACUGACGCUGAGGAGCGAAAGCGUGGGGAGCGAACAGGAUUAGAUACCCCCGUAGUCCCUGUCUCUUAUAA
RNAcentral lists this ribosomal RNA (301 nucleotides) under uncultured bacterium. RNAcentral describes it as "partial 16S ribosomal RNA". It matches the Rfam family "Bacterial small subunit ribosomal RNA", at positions 509 to 809 of the family's 1533-position model. The record is from RNAcentral.